Molecule: ribosomal RNA, 180 nt
Filed under: uncultured Glomeromycotina
Lineage: Eukaryota; Fungi; Glomeromycota
Description: partial small subunit ribosomal RNA
Source: RNAcentral
GGAUUAAUUUAUUGGUCGUGCUAUUGUACGUACUGGUAUUAUUGAUUCCUACCUUCUGACGAACCAUGAUGUCAUUAAUUUGGUGUCAUGGGGAAUCAGGACUGUUACUUUGAAAAAAUUAGAGUGUUUAAAGCAGGCACCACACGCCUUGAAUACUACAGCAUGGGAUAAUAGAAUAGG